This 446-nucleotide long non-coding RNA is filed under the name Malus domestica (apple). Its description in RNAcentral is "long non-coding RNA (MDOM_LNC005250)". The record is from RNAcentral. Lineage: Eukaryota; Viridiplantae; Streptophyta; Magnoliopsida; Rosales; Rosaceae.
AUAUUCCCAAAGAGAUUACAAGGAUUAAAGAAUAACAAAUCAAAAAUUUUCACCAAAAUAUAACAUUUUACACAGAAGUCAUCACUGACUUGGGGAGGAAGGACUUAGUAAUUUUAAACCUUUUUAAUCCAUUCAUGGUUGAUUGAUUGUUCUUCCUAAGGCUUUGGUGGUUCUGCAGCAGCAGAUUCCUCCACCUUUGGAGGAGGAGCCUCAGCAGCAGCUUCUGGCUCAGUAGGUUUAGGUUUUUUAACCUCCUCUUUCUUCUCCUCCACCACCACCUCUUCUUUUUUCUCUUCUUCGAUCACUAUCUCCUUUUCUUUUACAACACCACUUGUUUCCUCCUCAGUUUUUGUUGCUUCUGCUGGCGGUGGCAGCGGCUCUACCGUUUCCUCAGUCACAAUGAAUGUUGAGACCUUCUCGAACACAAAGAAAACUGGACCUGAAAC